GCAAGUCGAACGCGAACGGAGAUUUCGGUCUCUUAUUAGAGUGGCGCACGGGUGAGUAACGCGUAGACAACCUGCCCUUCAGCCUGGGAUAACGUUCCGAAAGGAGCGCUAAUACCGGAUAACACUUUUAGUCUAGUGACUUUAAGUUGAAAGGUUUACCACUGAGGGAUGGGUCUGCGUAUCAUUAGUUUGUUGGUGGGGUAACGGCUCACCAAGGCUACGAUGAUUAGCGGGUCUGAGAGGAUGAUC
Molecule: ribosomal RNA, 249 nt
Filed under: uncultured bacterium
Lineage: Bacteria
Description: partial 16S ribosomal RNA
Rfam family: Bacterial small subunit ribosomal RNA
Source: RNAcentral